GAGGACGUCACGCCUCUGCCUCCCGUAGCCAUUCAGCAGCCGCCCUGCGGGAACAACCUUCUCCUCUGCCAAUCGGCGGCGCUGCCAGUUGCUACGUCAUGCCCGGCCCCUGCUCCUCCCCAAGAUCCUUCUGUCUCUGAUCUCUGACCUGCGUUCUUAGCUGGGACGUCGAGUUCUCCCAGGAUAAUUAUCGACCAGCAGAACCAGCCUGAAACCACCACUGAAACACAAUUUAUGCCUUGCUAUCUUCCUAAGGAUUAAGCAUCUGGGUAAGAAUACACAUCCUGGGAAGGACGCUACCCAGUCAUUUUAUCUACCCCCAUCGCUGUUAAAGUGGCUGGAGUUGAGUCUUGGAUACAUCACACUCAAGUCAAACCCUGGAUACUGCCAAAGGAACCCGAAAAUCCGGGAGACAACACUAGCUAUUCCUGUGAACCUCUAGAGGAUCUGCGCCUGCUCUUCAAGUGACAACCGUGAGGAAGUUUGUCUCUUCCAGAAUCAAAGCUGUAAAACUACAAAUCAUUCUUCAAAUGGAGCCCCAGAUGCAGAUCAUGUCUAAGAUCUACCGCGGACCCCUGGACCAGCCUGCUAGCCCAUGCCCUGAUGUUAAUGACAUUGAAGGCACCCCUCCUGAGGAAAUCUCAACUGCAUGACCCCUACUACACCCCAACUCAGCAGGAAGCAGUUAACAGUGGUCGUUGGCCGACCUCCCCCAUAGCACUUGGGUUUUCCUGUUGAGAGGGGGCACUGAGAGACAGGACUAGCUGGAUUUCCUAGAACUAAGAAUUCCUAAGCCUAGCUGGGGAAGGUGACUGCAACCAUCUUUAAACACAAGGCUUGUAUCUCAGCUCACACCUGACCAAUCAGGUAAUAAAGAGGUCUCACUAAAAUACAAAUUAGGCUAAAAGCAGGAGGUAAAGAAAUAGUCAAAUCACGUAUCAUCUGAGAGCACAAGGGAGGGAUAAUGAUUGUGAUAUAAACCCACAGGCAUUCGAGCCGGGAGUGGACAACCCCUUUUGGGUCCCCUCCCAUUGUAUGGGAGCUCUGUUUUCACUCUAUUAAAUCUUGCAAGUGCACACUCUUCUGGUCCAUAUUUGUUACGGCUCGAGCUGAGAUUUAGCUCGCUGUCCACCACUGCUGUUUGCCGCCAUCGUAGACCCGCCACUGACUUCCACCCCUCCGGAUCCAUCAGGGUGUCUGCUGAGCUUUUGAUCAAGUGAGGCACCCAUUGCUGCUCCUGAUCAGGCUAAAGGCUCACCAUUGUUCCUGCAUGGCUAAGUGCCCGGGUUCAUCUUAAUUGAGCUGAGCACUAGUCGCUUGGUUCCACAGUUCUCUUCCAUGACCCCUGGCUUCUAAGAGAGUUAUAACACUCACCGCCUGGCCCAGGGUUCCAUUCCUUGGAAUCUGCGAGGCCAAAAACCCCAGGGCAGAGAAUAAAAGGCUUGCCACCAUCUUGGGAGCGGCCUGCUGCAUCUUGGGAGCUGCCCACCACCAUCUCGGGAGCUCUAAGUACAAAGACCCACCCGUAACAGUAACAUCCUUCUCCCAUCCCUGGCCCCUGAGAGCCACUGAUCUGUUCUCUGUUGUUACAGUUUUGUCUUUUCAAGAAUGACUUAUAAGUGGACUCAUAGGAUUUGUAAACUUUCACUGAGCAUAAUGCCUUUGAGAGUCAUCCAAGUUGUUGUAUAUAUGAAUAGUUCAUUCCUUCUUAUUUCUGAGAAGUAGUUUGUGGUGUGAACAUAUCACAGUUUAUCCAUUCACUGGCUGAAGGAUAUUUGUGUUGUUUCCAGCUUCUAAAAACUAUUAUUAGAGCUCCUGUAAACUUUAUGUGCAUAGGCUGUUGCAUUUUUCUACCUAGGAGUGGAUUUGCCAGAUCAUGUGGGAAGUUUAACUUUAUGAGAAACUGCCAAUCUGUUUUUCAGAGUGGCUUUACCGUAUUUCAUUCCUACUAGCAAUUUUGAAGAGUUCCAGUUACUCUGCAUCGUUACCAGUACUUGGUAGGUUUAGCCAUUUUCAUUUUUGGUAAUCUAGUAGGUACACAGUAAUUCUCGUUGUGGUUUGGAAGUGUUGAAUUUAUUUUCAUGUGUGUAUUUGCUUUCCAUAUAAUUUUGAUGAUGUGUCUUUUCAAGUAUUUUGCUCAUUUUUUUCCCUGAGUUUUGAGGGAUCUUAUGUAUUUUGGAUACAAAUCCUUUAUAAAAUAUCAAUUGAAAAUAUUUUCUUUCAGCCUCUAACUUGUUUUUUAAUCUCUGAACAAUGUCUUCACAAUAUAGAAGUUUUUAUUUUUGAUGAAGCCUAAUUUAUUAUUUUUUUCUUUCAUUGACUAUGCUUUUGAUGUGUUCUCCAGGAACUCUUUGCUUAAAUCCAAGAUUAAAAACUUUUUCCAACUGUACUUAUAAAAAAACUUACUGUAUUUUUUAGAUGUAUAAUCUAUUUUAAAUUAAUUACUGCAAAGAGUGUGAGGUUUAUGUCAAGGUUUAUUUUUUUUGCAUGUGGUUGUCCAAUUGCUCCAGUAUGAUUUGUUGAAAAGAUUACACUCUCUCCACUGAAUUGCUGUUACAUCUUUGUCAAAAAUUAAUUGCCCACAUUUGUGUGGAUGCAUUUCUGAACUAUUUAUUCAGUACCAUUGAUUUAUGGGUCUAUCUCUUUGACAA
This is a long non-coding RNA of Gorilla gorilla gorilla (western lowland gorilla), 2651 nucleotides long. RefSeq lists it as uncharacterized. Lineage: Eukaryota; Metazoa; Chordata; Mammalia; Primates; Hominidae. The transcript has 4 exons. The record is from RefSeq and is a predicted model, not a curated record.